This 253-nucleotide ribosomal RNA is filed under the name uncultured bacterium. RNAcentral's name for it is "partial 16S ribosomal RNA". It matches the Rfam family "Bacterial small subunit ribosomal RNA", at positions 524 to 776 of the family's 1533-position model. The record is from RNAcentral.
UACGUAGGGAGCGAGCGUUAUCCGGAUUUAUUGGGUGUAAAGGGUGCGUAGACGGGAAAUCAAGUUAGUUGUGAAAUCCCUCGGCUUAACUGAGGAACUGCAACUAAAACUGAUUUUCUUGAGUACUGGAGAGGAAAGUGGAAUUCCUAGUGUAGCGGUGAAAUGCGUAGAUAUUAGGAGGAACACCAGUGGCGAAGGCGACUUUCUGGACAGAAACUGACGUUGAGGCACGAAAGUGUGGGGAGCAAACAGG